GUAUUAUCGCGGCCGCCCUCUGCUAUGCCUGAAGACAAAAACUACUCUACACGACUCACAGCAUGUACUAUUAAUAAAAAGACGAUGCGUCUUCCUGGAACUGAGAUCUGUGUGAUCGUGGGAAAGCGACGUAAAAAAAAACAACCCACCUGAGGUACCAGACACAUGAGUGAAGCCAUCUUGGACAUCCCAGUCACAGCCAAACUCACUCCUGAGUGCAUCUGCAUGAUGAACCCAGCAAUCCCCACCAUGGAGCAAAGGAUCCAUCUAGCCAACCCAAAGAAUCAUGAAAAUAAUAAAUUGUUUUAAAGUUCUUCGGUUUUGGGAUGGCUUGUUAUGCAAUAAUACAUAAUUGAUACACUGGUCUCCCACUUUCAAGUUUAAUUAACUUUCAGCUAUUUUUCCACAUAGCAGGCAGAGUGAUUCCAUUAAAACAUACAUCAGAUAAUGUCACUACACUAAGUAAACUCUACAAGGACUCUCAUCUCCCUCAGAGUAAAGGUCACAGUUGUUACAAGGCCCUACGUAAUGUGGCCCUCACCACCACUCCAUUACCUUUUUCUUAUCUACUAUUUGCUAACUUUGCUUUGUCGUCUUUUCUGUUCUGAAACAGGCUAGGCAUGGUCCUGCCUCAAGGCCUUUGCACCAUCUACUGUCUGCGUGAAUUGUUCUUCCCACAGAUUUCUUGCUCCCUUCUUCCUUAUGAAGAAAUGUCAUGAAAUGUCCUUCCUUCAUGAAAUGUCACCUUCUCAUUGAGGCCUUCUGUAGUACCCCAAAUAAUGUCCCCCAAAGAUGUCCACAUCCUUAUCCCCAGAACCUGUGAAUGUGUUAUCUUAAUGGCAAAAGUGACUUUGCAAAUGUGAUUAUAUUUAAGGAUCUUAAGGUGGGGAUUAUCCUGGAUUAUCCAGGAGGGCCCAAUGUAAUCACAAGGCUCCUUACAAGUGAAAGGGGUAGGCAAGAGAGAGAAGGAGAUGUCAUAAUGAAAACAGAUCCAAGUGAUGAGAUUGCUGGCUGGGGUGGAGGUGGAGGGGGAUACAAUCCAAGGCAUGCAAGAAGCCUCUAAAAGCUAGGAAAUGUCAGGACACAGAUCUCCCCUAGAACCUCAGGAAGAAACCCAGGUUUACGGACACCGAUUUUAACCCAGUAAAUCCCUUUUCUGACUGCUGACCUCCAAAACUGUAAGAUAAUAAAUUUGUGUUACUUUAAGCCAA
Non-coding RNA from Macaca mulatta (Rhesus monkey), 1211 nucleotides. Lineage: Eukaryota; Metazoa; Chordata; Mammalia; Primates; Cercopithecidae. The record is from RefSeq and is a predicted model, not a curated record.